This 440-nucleotide ribosomal RNA is filed under the name uncultured bacterium. RNAcentral's name for it is "partial 16S ribosomal RNA". It matches the Rfam family "Bacterial small subunit ribosomal RNA", at positions 338 to 795 of the family's 1533-position model. The record is from RNAcentral.
CCUACGGGAGGCUGCAGUGGGGGAUAUUGCACAAUGGGGGAAACCCUGAUGCAGCGACGCCGCGUGAGGGAGGACGUAUUUCGGUAUGUAAAGCUCUAUCAGCAGUGAAGAAAAUGACGGUAGCUGACUAAGAAGCCCCGGCUAACUACGUGCCAGCAGCCGCGGUAAUACGUAGGGGGCAAGCGUUAUCCGGAUUUACUGGGUGUAAAGGGUGCGUAGACGGCUAUGCAAGUCAGAAGUGAAAGCCCAGGGCUCAACCUUGGGACUGCUUUUGAAACUGAGUGGCUAGAGUGAAGGAGAGGUAAGCGGAAUUCCUAGUGUAGCGGUGAAAUGCGUAGAGAUUGGGAGGAACACCAGUGGCGAAGGCGGCUUACUGGGCUGUAACUGACGUUGAGGCACGAAAGCGUGGGGAGCAAACAGGAUUAGAUACCCUAGUAGUC